AAUAGCUGGUUCCUACCGAAGUUGGCCGUAGUCAAGCCUUAGAGGAAAUAGCUAGAGUAGUAGAGCUACGGGUUGAAGAUUUAGGUCCCGAAAGGGAUCGAUUUUCUGUCCAACUCCGAACAUUCUAGCAUUACAGAAUCUAAGAGACGGGAAGCCGGGGUAAGCCCGGUUUCCGAGAGGGGAACAACCCAGACUAUAGUUAAGGUCCCUAAUACUGACUAAGUGUGAAAGGGUGAAAAGUGUCUAUUAUCACAGACAGCGAGGAGGUUGGCUUAGAAGCAGCCACCCUUUAAAAAGUGCGUAACAGCUUACUUGUCAAGAUGAUAGGCCUUUAAAAUGGACGGGACUAAGUCAGUUACCGAUACUAUAGAAUGCUUAAAAAGCAAUUAGUAGGUAGGCAUUCUGCAAGGACAGAAGUAUUUUUGCAAAAAAAUAUGGACCUUGUAGAAAUGAGAAUCCUGGUGGUAGUAGGAUCUUAGCACUGUAAGAAUCAGUGCCACUGAAAGGGCAAGGGUUCCUUGGCAAUGCAAAUCAGCCAAGGGUUAGUCGAACCUAACCAAAUCCAUAAAUUGGACUAUGGGAAAAGGAUAAAGGUUAAUAUUCCUUUACUAUUCAAGUAUACGUGGCAACACAAGCUUUAUUUCUGACAUUUCUGAUUAGGCUAACAUUGUUUGUCUACAAUGUCAACUAGAAUAAAUCAGGGGAGUAUCGUAAUGAUGAGAACCUGAUUAAAUCUAGGACGAGCGUUCUUAUGGGACGUUUAGCCGAUAUCUGGAAUCCGUGAAAAGGGAGUAGAGAAAAAACUUGAAUAUUC
Molecule: ribosomal RNA, 814 nt
Filed under: Candidatus Woesearchaeota archaeon
Lineage: Archaea; Nanobdellati; Candidatus Woesearchaeota
Description: partial 23S ribosomal RNA
Rfam family: Archaeal large subunit ribosomal RNA
Source: RNAcentral